This 356-nucleotide transfer-messenger RNA is filed under the name Dehalococcoidales. RNAcentral describes it as "W498 sp011170285 Standard tmRNA". It matches the Rfam family "transfer-messenger RNA". Rfam says of the family: Bacterial tmRNA, also known as 10Sa RNA or SsrA, is named for its dual tRNA and mRNA-like properties. Its role is to liberate the mRNA from a stalled ribosome. The record is from RNAcentral. Lineage: Bacteria; Bacillati; Chloroflexota; Dehalococcoidia. RNAcentral also lists the same sequence under 2 other names.
GGGGACGCGCGGGUUCGACAGGGGAAAUAUGCUGCAGGAUUGCAAGCUGAGGUGCCACUUACCUCGUAAAACAAGUGGCAAAAAAAUAACCGACGAAUCCGAAUUAGUUUUUGCAGCCUAAUUAAACAGGUUGCACGCUCAACCUGACCUCACCUCAAUGGGUUGGGAUUGGGUGCCGAAAAGUUGAGGUGCCACCGUCUGGAUGCCGAUAAUGGCGGUGAAAGAGUUAUCGGCUGGACUAACUAAACUCGGUCAGCAGAGGCUAGUUAGUUGAGAUUAAAUAGCUGACUAAGCUUGUAGAAUAUUCUGGGUAGUUUCUUUUGGACGGGGAGUUCAACUCUCCCCCGUCUCCACCA